GCGCAGCAGGCGCGAAUACUUUACAAUGCUGGCAACAGCGAUAAGGGAACCUCGAGUGCCAGGUUACAAAUCUGGCUGUCGAGAUGCCUAAAAAGCAUUUCAUAGCAAGGGCCGGGCAAGACCGGUGCCAGCCGCCGCGGUAACACCGGCGGCUCGAGUGGUAACCGUUAUUAUUGGGUCUAAAGGGUCUGUAGCCGGCCGGAUAAGUCUCUUGAGAAAUCUGGCAGCUUAACUGUCAGGCUUUCAGGAGAUACUGUCUGGCUCGAGGCCGGGAGAGGUGAGAGGUACUUCAGGGGUAGGGGUGAAAUCUUGUAAUCCUUGAAGGACCACCAGUGGCGAAGGCGUCUCACCAGAACGGACCUGACGGCAAGGGACGAAAGCUAGGGGCACGAACCGGAUUAGAUACCCGGGUAGUCC
Molecule: ribosomal RNA, 417 nt
Filed under: uncultured archaeon
Lineage: Archaea
Description: bacterial SSU rRNA
Rfam family: Archaeal small subunit ribosomal RNA
Source: RNAcentral